UUCCUGGUGGUCCAGUGGCUAAGACCCCAUGCUUUCAAUGCAGGAGCCCAGGUUUGAUCCCUGGUCAGGGAA
This 72-nucleotide transfer RNA is filed under the name Ovis aries (sheep). It matches the Rfam family "tRNA". From Rfam's summary of the family: Transfer RNA (tRNA) molecules are approximately 80 nucleotides in length. Their secondary structure includes four short double-helical elements and three loops (D, anti-codon, and T loops). Further hydrogen bonds mediate the characteristic L-shaped molecular structure. tRNAs have two regions of fundamental functional importance: the anti-codon, which is responsible for specific mRNA codon recognition, and the 3' end, to which the tRNAs corresponding amino acid is attached (by aminoacyl-tRNA synthetases). tRNAs cope with the degeneracy of the genetic code in two manners: having more than one tRNA (with a specific anti-codon) for a particular amino acid; and 'wobble' base-pairing, i.e. permitting non-standard base-pairing at the 3rd anti-codon position. Lineage: Eukaryota; Metazoa; Chordata; Mammalia; Artiodactyla; Bovidae. The record is from Rfam by way of RNAcentral.